AAUGGGAAUUGCACCUAAUGGCAAUAACACCAUUGCUAGUUGAAAUUGGAAGAACUUAAAGAACCGUAGCCUCCAGGCCCUCCACAUCCUUUUCCCCUCAAUUCCCAGCUGCAAGGGUAAAAAUGUCUACAUAUAUGUUUAUAUAAGCACAACCUGUGGCAUUGUAGAUAUAUAUAAUCAAUAACACCAAAAACUUAAUAAAUUGCAUCAGAAUGCAAAAGAAAAAUAAAUAAAAAAUUAAAUAAAUAAAGGCUAUGCCAUUUUCUCUUAUUCUUUACCAGUUUCAUCGUUGCCAAAUCAUGGUGAAGAUCAAAAUCCCCCGCUACAAAAAACCAUUAUAACCAACAAAUAGAGUUGUUUCAUCAUUUUGUUUGGUGGGUCAGAAGAGAAGAUAAAAAAAUGUUAUACUUUUAAAGAAUGAUACUCUAAAUGAUAUGUUGUAAGAUAUCUCAAAACACGUGGCUUUCAAAAUAACUUUUUUACAUCAGGGUAAAACUCUUUGGUUUGUCCACACCUUUUAUUCUUCUCUUCUACGGUCCGUGUAUCAGGUAGGAAAAAAGAAUCUCUGCUUUUUUCCGCAUGAUUUACACAUAGAAGAAGAUCCAUAUCAAGAUAAAACUCUUGAGUUUCCUAUAUCAGAUUGCAGUUACUUCUAGUUCUCCAAAGUCUUGCUGAUUGUCCUUAGGGUGUGAAUUCAUGAUCUUCAUUUCUAUGAGAAAUAUCUAGCUCAAGAAAUAAGUCUAUGUGGUAUAGUUAAGGUCAUGUUCUUUCAUAUUUUAGAAGGAACCAAACCAAUGCAAACCAUGAAUCAUAGAGUAAUUUUAUAAUGAAGAGGCCAAACAAUGGUUACCAAAAGAUUGUGCCUCAUCAACUGAUUUUCACAAGAAAACUCCUUAACUUCUUAAGAAUAUCAGAUGAAAACAUAUAUUUAUUUUCAACAGACCAAAUAAUGGUUACCACCAAACUAUAAGUUUUUUACGAAAAUUGUGCGGUUGUGGAACAUCCUCGUCGCCAAUUCUUAUGUCUGCGACAUCAUCUUCUUUUGACAAUUAUCAAUGAAAUAAUCAUAAGACAACAAUACAACAAUUUCAAAAAUCAAGAUACAUGAAGAGCUUUUUGAAUAACGUAGGAAUGUGAUAGGUCCAUUAGGAAAAAAGGGGAAAUCAGUUAUAAAAUUACAAUGUCUUUACCAAUUUUGACCAAGCGAAACACGCUUUAAGCACCAAUUAAGCAGUACUCUAUGUAAAACAACAAUAGUCAUCUAUUUCAUGGAAUCAAUUAACUGUUUUGUAUUUUGUAAUCAUGUUGUGCUCUGUAUGUUGUUAUGUUAAGCUUUGGCUCAAUCAUAAGUCAUUUUUUCUGACAAUUAAUGUCCAUGACAACAUAGCUAUUAAUCUUGUGAUGGUGCGAAUGCCUAGUUGUCCAUUUCUCAUUCUACUCUAUAAAACAGGCCCAAAGAAAAGAAUAUAAAAAUAUAGUUUUGGUAAGUGGUACCUCAGCCUUUCUUGUUAUUUAUUAAAGGAGAAUAAAGAUGAUAAAAUCGAUCUAUAUUGGUUGAAAUCUCUUGCUUCCUACUUGAUGUAUUCUGUAGAACACAAUAAAAUCGUUCUUUUAGUGGAAAACAAUAAAACUUGAGUGCCAUUAUUGAAUUGAUUUUGGUAAAAUUGGCUAUAAAUAGAAAAUAAUAUUUAUUGAAUUGAAUAUUUGAGAAUCNNNNNNNNNNNNNNNNNNNNNNNNNNNNNNNNNNNNNNNNNNNNCAAUAACAAUUUUCACAUUUCUACUUAGUUAUUGAGAUAUGAAUCUUAUUGAAACAACCAAAAGAAGUAACUACAUGUUUCAAUAGUGCACAUGGAAUAUGUUUCUGCUUUAACUUCUAUAAAUAUCAAAAUUUUAAACUUUUUAGGUAUGUGGAUUUCUACAAGUGUCGAAGUUGGUGCUUGGAUUUUGAGCUUUGAUUCCGCAAUUGUAAUGUGUAAUUUUCAAGUCAUAAAGUAUACAUAUGUAAGGUAAAGAUUAAGGCAUAUAAUCAUAAGAUCAUCAAGGACCCAAGUGUAAUUGGACCCUAGAAGGAGAAAUCGGGUACGAAAUCUUCACACAUAGACAAGAACAGAAAAACCCUACACUAGGUAAACUAUGAAAUUGGAACCAAUAAGCAUACCUUGAAGCCGAAUAUCGUGUUCCACUGGGAAACUGAUUAACACCGAAUUAAUUGAAGAGGUUCCCACUUUAGGUGGAGAAGAGAUAGAGAAGAAGUCAUCGAUUAGGCCUUUGUAGAAGACGGGAGCGGGGGAGCGACGGUAAAACCAAACAACAUUGAUUGAUUGGGGCAUAAACACGAUGAUAGUGGGGGAACAGUAGGGACGAAAUUGGCCCGCUUUUGGUGACUGUACAACCCAUCAAUAACAGCACUAAAUAAAAUCAAUAGAAAUUAUAGGUAUAUCAACGAUGGAGGAAUUGAGAUUGGACACAUCAUCUGAUGGUAGAAGAUUACCUUGACAGCAUCAGUAGAUAUCUGAAUGAUGGUGGUGGAGAGUGACGAUGCAUAUGGCAGUAGACUUCACCUGCGAAUCUAAAUGGUGGUGGCAUCCUCUGCACUUGCUGCAACAGCACCAUACGCACCUUUGCACUUCAUCAUCACCGACUACGGGGUGUUUG
This 2655-nucleotide long non-coding RNA is filed under the name Lactuca sativa (garden lettuce). RNAcentral's name for it is "long non-coding RNA (LSAT_LNC006559)". Lineage: Eukaryota; Viridiplantae; Streptophyta; Magnoliopsida; Asterales; Asteraceae. The record is from RNAcentral.